CUUUGUUACUAAGCCUAUAUUGAAUAUUUAAAAUUAAGAAAUCCGUGAUUUUACUUGCAGGCAUGACUGAUUAAUGGAAUUAUUUUACUUUUAUAUAGAAUAUGGACGGCACUCCAUUACAGCAUGUGCAUGGUUGGACCUGUUGACAUUUUUAGAAACGCAUCUUGGUCUAUUAUACAGAGUAUUGUUGUACUGCUCCAAAGUGCUUGUUGACAGACUGAAACCACUUGCUUGCGGCUCAUAAGGUUCACUUCUUGAGAGCAGGCAGCUACAGAAUGGAAGGUCAACAAAUCCAGUAUACUUGAAAAGCAAGAAAGAAACACCAGAAAAUAUAAAAAGACAGAAGAACAAGGGAACUUUAAUAAAAAAAAACUUUUAAGGAGAGGAAUUCAGGAUUUAUUUAGAAACUAAGACUAAGCUCUGUUACUUUAAGAGAUAAUGUAUUAUCACAUUGGUUUUGUUAUUGUCGAGCCCGCUUGCUGAAGCGAAGAUAUAGUUGUCCAGAUGUCUAUUCGGUGUAUGUGCGUGCGUGCGUCCGUCCGGAUUUGUUUGUCCGGACCAUAAUUUGGACAUGCAUGGAGCAAUCUUGUUUAUAUAUGGUAUGAAUGUUAACCUCAGUCAGACGGAGUGUAUGCGCAAGCCCCAGGUUCCUAUCUCAAAGGUCAAGAUCACACUUACAGGUCAAAGGUCAAAUUCAAGAAUGACUGUCUGGAACAUUUCUUCUUCAUGCAUGGAGGGAUUUUGAUGUAACUUGGCACAAUUGUUCCCCAUCAUGAGAUGGCGUGUCAUGCGCAAGAACCAGGUCCCUAGGUCUAAGGUCUAGGUCACACUUAGAGGUCAAAUAAUACAAGAAUGACAACUUUGUCUGGAGCAUUUCUUCUUCAGGCAUGGAGGGACUUUGAUGUAACUUGGCACAAAUGUUCACCACCAUGAGACGGAGUGUCAUGCGGAAGAACCAGGUCUAAGGUCAAGGUCACACUUAGAGGUCAAAAGUCAGAUACAAGAAUGACUUUGUCUGGAGCAUUUCUUUUUGAUGCACAGAGGGAUUUUGAUGUAACUUGGCACAAUUGUUCAUCAUCAUGCAACGGAGUGUUAUGCAUAUGAUCCUAGAAUUACUUCCCUUUGUUGUUACUAUAAAUAGCUUACAUUUGUAAUUUGUUUAUUACUGGUCAUAGGGAAAAAUCAAGACCACUUUUCUGUAGUACAACAUGCAUGUUACAUCCAAUUUUCAGGUGUAUUUUGACCUAUCUCUGCUGGUGUGGAUUUUUGUGUGGACUUAGAAUUUUUUUUUUAUUUUACGUUCCUUUGUUGUUACUAGGGGUGGGUAUUGCCACGAAAAUUGGUAUUGCGAUAUAUUGCAAUAUUGUAUGUGGAUAUUGCAAUAUACUGGGAUAUAUUGUACCAGUUAUUUAAUGAACAAAAACAUGAUGAAUCAUGCUGUUUUUUUUUUCAAUUAAAAAUGAGUAAAAUGAUUAGUAUCAACAACACGAGUGUUUGCUCCACCUUCUCAAUAAAUAAAAAUAAUAGUAAACAAAAAAAAAAGUUUUGACUAUAUUAUGGGGAGUAUUGUCAAUUUGUCAUACACAAAUACUAUUAACUGUUGAUGAUUUUGCCUUUAUUUUCAACAAUCUCGAAGUCCGACAUGUUGCUAUAAUGCUAUGACGCCGAUUACCGGAUAUUCAAAAGCGAAAGUAGACUGCGUCAAAAUAUUAUUUAGUUUAUUGUGCUGCACUACAUUCGGUUUACGGAUACAAUCAUAUAACACAGGUUGCUCAAUUCACCGAUUAUAAACGAGGAAAGUGGCAUAGCUGUUGUAUGAAUAAUAAAUUCUAGUUGAUAGAAAAAUUACUAAUGAGUCGCUGACAAAUACGAAAUUAUAUUUAUCCAAAUUUUCUUAUUGGUUUUAUUAUGUGGAAUUGGGUCCGUAAAAUAGCUGAAAACCAGUCUGCUACCUGCACCGGAAAUGAAAGGAGAAAAAUGAAAACAAAGUUGAAUCGUGCUGACAAGAAAAGGAUUUUUUGUGUGUGGAUCGUCUUGGUUAACGUUAGUGUUACUUAAUGUUAUAAAAUAACCGGUAUUCGAAAAUCAUAUCGCAAUAUCGUAUCGUCGGAAAAAACAUCGCAAUAACCGGUCUACCGCUGUAUAUCGCCCACCCCUAGUUGUUACUGUAAAUAACUUAUAUUGUAACUUUUUGCAAUCUCUUUUAUUUGGCAUAAAUGUUUGCCUCAAUGAGACAAGGAGUGUCAUGCACAACUCCCAGUCCUUUUGACAGCUGGCGGGCUUGACAUAUUGCCCGUGGGCAUCUAGUUCUCAUAUUUUUCAUGAGAUUUUAAAGAGAAUGUUCUGUUAUACCCGCAUGUAGUAAGCUUGUCUGUCUUUCAGUCAGUAGGUUUUCAUGGCUUCCAGAUGAUAACUCCUGAAAAGCUUGACCGAUUUAAAUAUUUUUGGUACAUAGUUACAGGUCAAGUUUGACUUUGGGGUCAAAGGUCAAGAUAACUUGCAAACGCUUUGGCCUGGGAUCAUAGCUUUUGUAACGCAGGUGUAACAUGAUAAAAUACAGGUUGUUUGAAUUUGAGGUCAAUAGAUCAAAGGUCAAGGUCACAGUGAUUUUGAACAGUUGAACCAUUUCCGAAUGGUAACUUAAGACCUUGAGCCUAGGAUGAUAAAGUUUGGUACACAGGUGUCACAUCAUGAAAUACAGGUCAAGUUUUACUUUGAGGUCAGUAGGUCAAGGUCACAAUAAGGCAAAACGGUGAAAUGUUUUUCAGAUUAUAACUUGAGAAUGCUUGAGCCUAGGAUCAUGAAAAUUGUUAGGGAGGUUGAUUAUGACCAGCAGGUGACCCCUAAUGAUGUUGAGGUCAGUAGGUCACAGGUCAAGGUCACACUGACCCGGUUCUUUAAAAUGAUGCACGGAGGGGCACCUGGGGUCUUCCUCCACCAUUAAAACUGGAAAGUCGCCAUAUGACCUAUCCUGUGUCGGUGUGAUGUUAAAUUCAACAAAAUAAAUAAAGGUUCUUUAAAACGUUUUUUGGACAAUAACUUCAGGAUGCUUGGGAUGAGAAACACAAAAUUUAGUACAAGGUUGGUCUUGACCAGCAGAUUACCUGUAUUGAUUUAGAGUUCCAAAGGUCAGGAUGACCCGGAACAUUUAAACCUUUUCCAUACAACAACUUGAGAACACUUGGGCCGAGGAUCAUGAAACUAUGGAGAUUGAAUUUGAGGUCAUAGCUCAAGAAAAUGCUGCUUUGUUAUUGGCUAAGUUCUUUGAUAAGGCCAUAUUGUGGGGGUAUAAUUCGUCACUCCUGUGACAACUCUAGCAUUUAGCUCACCUGAGCACAAAGUGCUCAAGGUGAGCUUUUGUGAUCGCCCUGUGUCCGUCCGUCGUCAACAAUUUGACUGUUAACACUCUAGAGGUCACAAUUUUGACUUAAUCUUUAUGAAACUUGGUCAGAAUGUUACCCUCAAUAAAAUCUUGGACACACUCGAUGUUGGGUCAUCUUGAAUCAAAAACUAGGUCACCAAGUCAAAUCAAAGGAAAAGCUUGUUAACACUGUAGAGGUCACAUUUAAGACUGUAAUAUACUAUCUUCAUGAAACUUGGUCAGAAUGUUAAUCUUGAUGAUUUCAAAGUCCAGUCUGAAUCUGGGUUAUGUAGGGUCAAAAACUAGGUCACUAGGUCAAAUCAAAGGAAAAGCUAGUUUACCCUCUAGAAGCCAAAUUUAUGACCAUAUCUUAAUGAAACUUGGUCAAAAUGUUAAUAUAAAUGAUCCAUAGAUCAGGUUCAAAUCUGGGUCAAGUGGGGUCAAAAACUACGUCACCAGGUCAAAUCAAGGGAAAAGCUUGUUAACACUCUAGAGGUCACAAUUUUGGCCCAAUCUUAAUGAAACUUGGUCAAAAUGUUACCCUCAAUAAAGUAUUGGACAAGUUUGAUAUUGGGUCGUCUAGGGUCAAAAACUAGGUAACCAGGUCAAAUCAAAAGAGAAGCUUGUUAACACUGUAGUGGCCACAUUUAUGACCAUAUCUUAAUGAAAUUUUGUCAGAAUUUUAAUCUUGAUGAUCUAUAGGCCAAGUUAAAUCUAGGUCAGGUGGGAUUAAAGACUAGGUCGCUAGGUCAAAUCAAAGGAACAGCUUGUUAACACUCCAGAGGCCACAUUUAUGACUGCAUCUUCCUGAAACUUAAUCAGAAUGUUAAUCUUGAUGAUCUUUCAGUCAAGUUUGAAUCUGGGUCAUGUGGGGUCAAAAACUAGGUCACCAAGUCAAAUCAAAGGAAAAGCUAGUUAACUCUUUAGAGGCUACAUUUAUGAUCGUAUCUUAAUGUAACUUGGUCAGAAUGUUGAUCUUGAUGAUCUUUAUGUCAAUAUGCCAGGUGAGCGAUAUAGGGCCAUCAUGGCCCUCUUGUUUAUUUGUUCUUGUAAGAGAAAUUGUACAUUUUAGAAUAGAGAUUACAGCAAGUCACAUUUUCUUUAUUUUGAAAAUAUUUAUUUCAAAGCCUGACAAAAGCAUCCAGUACUGUUAUUAAAAGUUGUUAUUCACAGUUCAGCUAUAUUUCAUGUAUGGAUAAAACAAAUUUUGUGAUCUGUGAUCAUUAUAAAUGUGUAUACAGAUAAAACUUAAACAUGUGAACAGUUUAUUCAAUAAAUAAAGUGUAAUGCAAGUC
Molecule: long non-coding RNA, 4656 nt
Organism: Mercenaria mercenaria
Lineage: Eukaryota; Metazoa; Mollusca; Bivalvia; Venerida; Veneridae
Exons: 3
Source: RefSeq, a predicted model, not a curated record